This 468-nucleotide ribosomal RNA is filed under the name uncultured bacterium. Its description in RNAcentral is "partial 16S ribosomal RNA". It matches the Rfam family "Bacterial small subunit ribosomal RNA", at positions 28 to 507 of the family's 1533-position model. The record is from RNAcentral.
GACGAACGCUGGCGGCGUGCUUAACACAUGCAAGUCGAACGGAAAGGCCCUGCUUUUGUGGGUCGCUCGAGUGGCGAACGGGUGAGUAACACGUGAGUAACCUGCCCCUGACUUAGGGAUAACUUCAGGAAACUGGGGCUAAUACCGGAUAGGAGCUCUUGCUGCAUGGUGGGGGUUGGAAAGUUUCGGCGGUUGGGGAUGGACUCGCGGCUUAUCAGCUUGUUGGUGGGGUAGUGGCUUACCAAGGCUUUGACGGGUAGCCGGCCUGGGAGGGUGACCGGCCACAUUGGGACUGAGAUACGGCGCAGACUCGAACGGGAGGCAACGGUGGAGAAUAUUACACAGUGGGCGGAAGCCUGAUGUGACGACGCCGCGUGCGGGAAGACGGGCUUCGGGUUGUAAACCAAUUUCGCCUGAGACGAAGAGUGAGUGACGGUAAUGGGUAAAGAAGCACCGGCUAACUACGUG